AUUGAACGCUGGCGGCAGGCCUAAUACAUGCAAGUCGAGCGGACGAAGGGAGCUUGCUCCUGGCUUCAGUGGCGGACGGGCGAGUAAUGCCCACGAAUCUGCCCUGCCUAUGGGGAUAACGUCCGUUAACGGGCGCUAAUCUCGCACCCGAUCAGAGGUUGAACGGGGGGGAUCUUCGGACAUCACGCGACCUGCUGUGCCUAGGACGCAUUAGCUAGUUGGUGAGGUAAAGGCCUACCAAGGCGACGAUCCGUAGCUGGUCUGAGAGGAUGAUCAGUCACACUGGAACUGAGACACGGUCCAGACUCCUACGGGAGGCAGCAGUGGGGAAUAUUGGGCAAUGGGCGAAAGCCUGAUCCAGCCAUGCCGCGUGUGUGAUGAAGGUCUUCGGAUUGUAAAGCACUUUAAGUUGGGAGGAAGAGAAGUAAGUUAAUCCCUUGCUGUUUUGACGUUACCAACAGAAUAAGCACCGGCUAACUUCGUG
RNAcentral lists this ribosomal RNA (484 nucleotides) under uncultured bacterium. RNAcentral's name for it is "partial 16S ribosomal RNA". It matches the Rfam family "Bacterial small subunit ribosomal RNA", at positions 30 to 507 of the family's 1533-position model. The record is from RNAcentral.